CCUUUGACGUUAGCGGCGGACGGGUGAGUAACACGUGGGUAACCUACCUAUAAGACUGGGAUAACUUCGGGAAACCGGAGCUAAUACCGGAUAAUAUUUCGAACCGCAUGGUUCGAUAGUUAAAGAUGGUUUUGCUAUCACUUAUAGAUGGACCCGCGCCGUAUUAGCUAGUUGGUAAGGUAACGGCUUACCAAGGCGACGAUACGUAGCCGACCUGAGAGGGUGAUCGGCCACACUGGAACUGAGACACGGUCCAGACUCCUACGGGAGGGCAGCAGUG
RNAcentral lists this ribosomal RNA (280 nucleotides) under uncultured Staphylococcus sp. RNAcentral describes it as "partial 16S ribosomal RNA". It matches the Rfam family "Bacterial small subunit ribosomal RNA", at positions 83 to 356 of the family's 1533-position model. Lineage: Bacteria; Bacillati; Bacillota; Bacilli; Caryophanales; Staphylococcaceae. The record is from RNAcentral.